CACUACUACUGCAAAAAUUGCCGAAUCGAUUGGCUUCAGACUACGCAAGAACCGAGCGUGAAUGAAAAAUGCAAAUCAUGUCCUAAUGACGUGAAUCCAUAUGGAAUGGAAAAAUUGAAAACCGACGAUAAAUUGAACUAUAACAUUACAUAUAUUUGCACGAAUGAUGCAUGCCGUGUCAGAUGGACGGAAGACAAUCUCGAAGAGCCAAAUACCAUGGGAUCCUGCACCACUUGUGGUACAAAAAACAUUCAGCCAUAUAUGCAGCAAGUGCAAGUGAUCAAAAAACAGUAGAAGACCCAGAAGUUGGGG
Long non-coding RNA from Contarinia nasturtii (swede midge), 312 nucleotides. RefSeq lists it as uncharacterized. The record is from RefSeq and is a predicted model, not a curated record. The transcript is spliced from 3 exons. NCBI's taxonomy places the organism in Eukaryota, Metazoa, Arthropoda, Insecta, Diptera, Cecidomyiidae.